Molecule: long non-coding RNA, 2054 nt
Organism: Takifugu rubripes (torafugu)
Lineage: Eukaryota; Metazoa; Chordata; Actinopteri; Tetraodontiformes; Tetraodontidae
Source: Ensembl
GUUACUAAUUUUGUAGUUCCAGUUACUAUCAUAGACAGACAAACUAUCAUACUUAGGGGGUCGUCUAAUCAUUAGGAUAACAUCUUAGUUAUGCUGUUAUAAGCCGAGGCUGCUUGGGUCCAGAAACAUGAUCCCCUGACAGGCCUCUGUCACCCCACUGGGUCAUGGUUUCCUCUCCUCUCCUCUCCUCUCCUCUCCUCUCCUCUCCUCUCCUCUCCUCUCCUCUCCCUGUUAAAGGGGAGUUUUUCCUUGCCACUGUUGCUUGUCUGGGGUCAGGCCCUGGGAUUCUGGAAAGCGCCUUGGAACAAUUUUUAUUGUAUAAGACGCUAUAUAAAUAAAGAUUGAUUUGAAUUGAUUUGAUGCGCGACUAUAAGCAUCUUAUUAGAUUACGUACCGCUUUAAUUCUACCUUACUAGAGUCGGUGCAUUUCAAAUGCAAAUUUAAGGUACUGUAGGAGUGAUAUUAAUAUAACGCAGACUGAUGGCUUGAAUUGAUUUCUUAAGGGAGUGACGAUGAUAUAAGUAAGAUGAUCCAAUGCCGGAUGGAGAAGGACCACCUCUUCUCCGGGAAGAGGUUUUCUGCUGCAGCAGGAUGAGAGUGGGUGCUGGGAAAAUGUUAAGGACUGUAUUUUAUUGCUGUAACAUGGAAUCUGGUGGGAUCACAAUCAGAAAUUACACUAUCAUCAGAAACUACACUUCUGCAAUUUGUUUAUGUCCUUCUUCCAAUUUUUAGAGUUGUGUGGAAGGAAAUUGGCCUGACUGGAAUGCUGACUCCAGCACGAGUAGCAAAAAAGUGGGAGAACCUUAAAAAAAACAAGGAGCUUCAGAGACCACCAACAGGAUCUGGCACUGAAUCUGGGGAUGAGGCAAUAGGUGGCAGGCCCUCGAUUUGGCCCCCAUGCCUCAUUGCCUCAGCCUGGGGGGAGAGCCAUUCUAAGUCAGGCUCCCCAUAUUCAGUCCCAGAUAGACCUGAUGGAGAGUCAGGGACAGAGGAGGAGGAACCAGGGCCAGCACCACGCAAGCGCCAGCGGUGCGAUAGGGUCCUGAUAGGAUCCUGGAGCUGCUGGAGAGGGCCGAGGAAAGGGCAACAAGAGAGGAAGCCAGGGAACAGACACUUUUAAAUCGGUUACAGAAACUGGUAGAUAAAAUGCAAAAAAGAAUAUAGUGUGUAGUGUCCGAAAGCUAACUUUGAAUUGAGUGUGCUACGUAGUUCACUCAAUCCAUGUCCCCCAUGUAGUGAGUAGUGAAUAGGGAACGAGUGUGUGGUUUCGGAAACAGCCUUAACUUUCGAACACUACGGCGCACAUAAAAUGAUGUCAUGGUGUCACAUAAUAAUUACGAAACGCUCGCCAGUAAAAGUGGCCAGGUCCAUUUAAUUAUUUUAACCCAUCCGAAACAGCCAAACACAUUCAGCGGUCGCUUCUUUGGAAAUGCAAUAUUUUACCCUAUUAUUAUCUUUAUAUAAUAAUAUUCAAAUAUUAAUGUCAAUUAAAUAAAAUAACAGUUCCUUAUUAUCUAAAAUAAUUAGUGUCCAGUGACAUUUUCGCGCCAUGACAUGAUGGUACAUUCCCAAGUCAUAUUCCACUGUACUGAAAACAUUUCAAUAAAGGAAUUUUUCAUCACGAAUUGGCUCCACAAGUACUUUUCAUCGUCUUAAAUAUUAUUUUACUGCUAUCCCGUCGUCUGGUGAGGAACAGACGACUCCGAAGGACAAUUUUGGCUCUAAGAUCCAAAUGUCAAACUGUAAGUGAGGGAAGGGGGUAAACAGUGAAGGUAGAUUGAUUUCCACAUUUAUGUUGUGAUCUUUUAACCUUGACACGGUUAUAUUUCAAAGUCUUGUAGUUCUAACAAGCCUCGAUAGAUUUGGACUGGGGCUGCUGGCAGGCAUUGUGCUCCUUGAGCGGAGCAGCAAAUCGCUAAUAGAUUGAUUAAAAAAAUAAUUUAAAAAAAACAUCAUUUUAUACCGACGUGUCUCGACUAACUCGCAAUCAUCGGUUUGAGGACGUUAAAUUAACCAGCACAACGUAAAACGAGCUAAAGCGCCGACUGGUCCGC